UGCCCGGCCAGCAGGAGCGCGCCCGCGUGAGUGGUGCUGAAGCCCAGCACGGAGUGGAAAUACACGAGCAAAUCUGCAAAGGAGAGACAGAAUUAUGAGGAGGAAGUAGUGGAUCAAUGGAAAAGCAGCAGGAUGCGAAAUCUUUGAAUGUACAGGACUCACAGCCUGGUUGCUCACACUCCUGCACCCUUAGCCUUAUUUGUAUUAUUUCCGUGUCUUCUAUAGGAUCAGAAACUUUUAAAAAGAAAGCGGGCGGCAUGCCAUACCUUGGCCAUGAGAGCAGGGAACCAAGCUGAGUCCCCAAAGCAGCACCAUCCCAGCAAAAGCCUCCAUCUCGUUUUGCCUGCCUGGCAUCGCAGCACGGUGUUCUCUUAGGCACAUCUGUCGAUAUUUUGUGGGGAGGAAGGUGAGAAGCCGGACCUUAUUUUCCUUGCAACUUCGACUGUGGACUUGGAAUCAAAGGGCACUUGCUAAUGCCUCUGGGAAAGCGUUCUUACCUGCCCAUGGCCAGGUGCCUCUGCCUCUUCAUGAGACUGCACUGCAGCAGCUCCCUGAACUCAACUCUCGCUGAGAAUUCCCAGCAUUAAUUCAACAACCCAUUUCUGGAAUCAAAGCAGAAAAUGAUGCUUUCUCAGACUAUGAAAAAUGUUGUAAGAUUAAUUGCUUCCAGGCUGGGUAAGUCUUUUUGGUAUGGUGCAUUUGGUGCAGUAGACACUAAAUAAGAAAUGUGGAGUUUUAAAUGUGAUGACUCUGUUGCAAUGGAGAUUAUGAAUAGGAAUUCUUGCGUUGAUGGGAUUAAGAUAAUAUGCAGAAAAAGGAGGAAACAGGUUUAGUAAACAGUCUGGACAACAACGUGAUUAAAUCAGAGAGAGCCAGAAGUCCAUCAAGACUGGGUUACUAGUUCUAACUUGAAAUAAAAUAUCUAACUGGGACACUGCACAAGAAAACAAGAGGAAUAUCACAAUGUCACCCAGAGAGGGACUCAUUCCAAGACCCCUUCCUGAGUUCAUAAUGAAAUAUGGAUACUUUGAAGUAUGAAAAAUCACAGAUCAAACAUGGGAAAUACAGAGAAUACUCAAACACACAUCAAAGAACACACUGCCUUGGCACAGGUACCUUUCGAUGGCUUUGUGCCACCCAGGAAAGAUGCUGCAACCAAAUCACAGAGAAGCCAACUCCAGGCUAACAAGACACCGCACGGUAGAUGCAGAUCCUUGGAACACGGCUUGCUGGUUGAAUGACAGGACAAAUAUAUACCCUGUGUGCAUGGAGGAAAUCAGGGCUUUUCCUCUCCUGUCCCUUCCCAAGCCAGAGUUUCUGAAUUUUAAAAGAAAUGUAUGCAAUAGAUACACUGCCUUACAAUUGCACAACUGACACUAGACUGCUCUUUGUUUCUGCUUCUGUUGGCUUUGCUAUAAUAAAGAGAUUCUUUGCACUGUG
Molecule: long non-coding RNA, 1440 nt
Organism: Varanus komodoensis (Komodo dragon)
Lineage: Eukaryota; Metazoa; Chordata; Lepidosauria; Squamata; Varanidae
Exons: 4
Source: RefSeq, a predicted model, not a curated record